GGGAGCGUAGCUCAGAUGAUAGAGCGCUCGCUUAGCAUUCGAGAGGUAAGGGGAUUGAUACCCCUCGCCUUCA
Trichonephila clavipes is the source of this 73-nucleotide non-coding RNA. Lineage: Eukaryota; Metazoa; Arthropoda; Arachnida; Araneae; Nephilidae. The record is from the annotation of a GenBank genome assembly.